GGGAUUGCCCUAGUAACGGCGAGUGAAGCGGCAACAGCUCAAAUUUGAAAUCUGGCUCUUUUAGGGUCCGAGUUGUAAUUUGCAGAGGGCGCUUUGGCUUUGGCAGCGGUCCAAGUUCCUUGGAACAGGACGUCACAGAGGGUGAGAAUCCCGUACGUGGUCGCUAGCUAUUGCCGUGUAAAGCCCCUUCGACGAGUCGAGUUGUUUGGGAAUGCAGCUCUAAAUGGGAGGUAAAUUUCUUCUAAAGCUAAAUAUUGGCCAGAGACCGAUAGCGCACAAGUAGAGUGAUCGAAAGAUGAAAAGCACUUUGGAAAGAGAGUCAAACAGCACGUGAAAUUGUUGAAAGGGAAGCGCUUGCAGCCAGACUUGCUUGCAGUUGCUCAUCCGGGCUUUUGCCCGGUGCACUCUUCUGUAGGCAGGCCAGCAUCAGUUUGGGCGGUGGGAUAAAGGUCUCUGACACGUUCCUUCCUUCGGGUUGGCCAUAUAGGGGAGACGUCAUACCACCAGCCUGGACUGAGGUCCGCGCAUCUGCUAGGAUGCUGGCGUAAUGGCUGUAAGCGGCCCGUCUUGAAACACGGACCAAGGAGUCUAACAUCUAUGCGAGUGUUUGGGUGUCAAGCCCGAGCGCGUAAUGAAAGUGAACGGAGGUGGGAACCCGCAAGGGCGCACCAUCGACCGAUCCUGAAGUUUACGGAAGGAUUUGAGUAAGAGCAUGGCUGUUGGGACCCGAAAGAUGGUGAACUAUGCUUGAAUAGGGUGAAGCCAGAGGAAACUCUGGUGGAGGCUCGCAGCGGUUCUGACGUGCAAAUCGAUCGUCAAAUUUGGGCAUAGGGGCGAAAGACUAAUC
This 847-nucleotide ribosomal RNA is filed under the name Curvularia protuberata. RNAcentral describes it as "eukaryotic LSU rRNA". It matches the Rfam family "Eukaryotic large subunit ribosomal RNA", at positions 71 to 936 of the family's 3401-position model. Lineage: Eukaryota; Fungi; Ascomycota; Dothideomycetes; Pleosporales; Pleosporaceae. The record is from RNAcentral.